UGACUAAUUAAACGGCCGCGGUAUCCUAACCGUGCAAAGGUAGCAUAAUCACUUGUCUACUAAUUAUAGACUUGUAUGAACGGCUAAAUGAGGGCCUGACUGUCUCCCGUGAUCAAUCAAUGAAACUGAUCUUCCAGUACAAAAGCUGAAAUAAACCCAUAAGACGAGAAGACCCUGUGGAGCUUAAAGCUCCCUUGCUAAUACAACCAAAUAAUACUACUACUAAAAUGGUUAUAUAACAACAAGCUUCAGUUGGGGCAACUUUGAAAAAAAAAAGAACUUUCAAGCACCGAGCAAUUAGCCCUACUUAGGCCAACAUGCCAAGGCAAUAAUUACCAGAUCCAGUCACACUGAUCAACGAACCAAGUUACCCCAGGGAUAACAGCGCAAUCUUCUUCAAGAGUCCUUAUCGCCAAGAAGGUUUACGACCUCGAUGUUGGAUCAGGACACCCAAGUGGUGCAGCCGCUACUAAAGGUUCGUUUGUUCAACGAUU
This 494-nucleotide ribosomal RNA is filed under the name Goniurosaurus bawanglingensis. RNAcentral's name for it is "partial 16S ribosomal RNA". It matches the Rfam family "Bacterial large subunit ribosomal RNA", at positions 1916 to 2589 of the family's 2925-position model. The record is from RNAcentral. Lineage: Eukaryota; Metazoa; Chordata; Lepidosauria; Squamata; Eublepharidae.